AUUGAACGCUGGCGGCAUGCUUUACACAUGCAAGUCGAACGGUAACAGGUUAAGCUGACGAGUGGCGAACGGGUGAGUAAUGCAUCGGAACGUGCCCGAUCGUGGGGGAUAACACUUCGAAAGAAGUGCUAAUACCGCAUACGAUCUGAGGAUGAAAGCGGGGGACCGUAAGGCCUCGCCCGAUCGGAGCGGCCGAUGUCAGAUUAGGUAGUUGGUGGGGUAAAGGCUCACCAAGCCGACGAUCUGGAGCUGGUCUGAGAGGACGACCAGCCACACUGGGACUGAGACACGGCCCAGACUCCUACGGGAGGCAGCAGUGGGGAAUUUUGGACAAUGGGCGCAAGCCUGAUCCAGCAAUGCCGCGUGCAGGAAGAAGGCCUUCGGGUUGUAAACUGCUUUUGUACGGAGCGAAAAGGCUCCCUCUAAUACAGGGGGCUCAUGACGGUACCGUAAGAAUAAGCACCGGCUAACUACGUGCCAGCCGCCGCUGUAA
This 493-nucleotide ribosomal RNA is filed under the name uncultured bacterium. Its description in RNAcentral is "partial 16S ribosomal RNA". It matches the Rfam family "Bacterial small subunit ribosomal RNA", at positions 30 to 523 of the family's 1533-position model. The record is from RNAcentral.